RNAcentral lists this ribosomal RNA (460 nucleotides) under uncultured bacterium. Its description in RNAcentral is "partial 16S ribosomal RNA". It matches the Rfam family "Bacterial small subunit ribosomal RNA", at positions 338 to 795 of the family's 1533-position model. The record is from RNAcentral.
CCUACGGGUGGCAGCAGUGAGGAAUAUUGGUCAAUGGACGAGAGUCUGAACCAGCCAAGUAGCGUGAAGGAUGACUGCCCUAUGGGUUGUAAACUUCUUUUAUAUGGGAAUAAAAUGUUCCACGUGUGGGAUUUUGUAUGUACCAUAUGAAUAAGGAUCGGCUAACUCCGUGCCAGCAGCCGCGGUAAUACGGAGGAUCCGAGCGUUAUCCGGAUUUAUUGGGUUUAAAGGGAGCGUAGGUGGAUUGUUAAGUCAGUUGUGAAAGUUUGCGGCCCAACCGUAAAAUUGCAGUUGAAACUGGCAGUCGUGAGUACAGUAGAGGUGGGCGGAAGUCGGGGUGGAGCGGUGAAAUGCUUAGAUAUCACGAAGAACUCCGAUUGCGAAGGCAGCUCACUGGACUGCAACUGACACUGAGGCUCGAAAGUGUGGGUAUCAAACAGGAUUAGAUACCCUAGUAGUC